Molecule: ribosomal RNA, 497 nt
Filed under: uncultured bacterium
Lineage: Bacteria
Description: partial 16S ribosomal RNA
Rfam family: Bacterial small subunit ribosomal RNA
Source: RNAcentral
GAUGAACGCUGGCGGUGUGCCUAAUACAUGCAAGUCGAGCGAACAGACGAGGAGCUUACUCCUCUGACGUUAGCGGCGGACGGGUGAGUAACACGUGGAUAACCUACCUAUAAGACUGGGAUAACUUCGGGAAACCGGAGCUAAUACCGGAUAACAUGUUGAACCGCAUGGUUCAACAGUGAAAGACGGUCUUGCUGUCACUUAUAGAUGGAUCCGCGUCGCAUUAGCUAGUUGGUAAGGUAACGGCUUACCAAGGCAACGAUGCGUAGCCGACCUGAGAGGGGGAUCGGCCACACUGGAACUGAGACACGGUCCAGACUCCUACGGGAGGCAGCAGUAGGGAAUCUUCCGCAAUGGGCGAAAGCCUGACGGAGCAAAGCCGCGUGAGUGAAGAAGGUCUUCGGAUCGUAAAACUCUGUUAUUAGGGAAGAACAAAUGUGUAAGUAACUAUGCACGUCUUGACGGUACCUAAUCAGAAAGCCACGGCUAACUACGUG